Molecule: ribosomal RNA, 493 nt
Filed under: uncultured bacterium
Lineage: Bacteria
Description: partial 16S ribosomal RNA
Rfam family: Bacterial small subunit ribosomal RNA
Source: RNAcentral
GACGAACGCUGGCGGCGUGCUUAACACAUGCAAGUCGAACGGAAAGGCCUGCUUUCCCUUGUGGAUUGCGGGUACUCGAGUGGCGAACGGGUGAGUAACACGUGAGUGAUCUGCCCCCAACUUGGGUAUAAGCCUGGGAAACUGGGUCUAAUUCCCGAUAGGACUGCAGGGUGGUGCCUGUGGUGGAAAACGAUUUUCUAGUGGUUGGGAUGAGCUCGCGGCCUAUCAGCUUGUUGGUGGGGUAAUGGCCUACCAAGGCGGCGACGGGUAGCCGGCCUGAGAGGGUGGACGGCCACAUUGGGACUGAGAUACGGCCCAGACUCCUACGGGAGGCAGCAGUGGGGAAGAUUGCACAAUGGGCGGAAGCCUGAUGCAGCGACGCCGCGUGGGGGAUGACGGCCUUCGGGUUGUAAACUCCUUUCGACCGCGAGGAAGCCACCUGGUUGGAAGGGUGGUGACGGUAGUGGUAGAAGAAGCACCGGCUAACUACGUG